This 412-nucleotide long non-coding RNA is filed under the name Capra hircus (goat). Its description in RNAcentral is "lncRNA (ENSCHIG00000006334.1)". The record is from RNAcentral. Lineage: Eukaryota; Metazoa; Chordata; Mammalia; Artiodactyla; Bovidae.
GGCAUGCUGCAGUCCACCGGGUCACAAAGAAUCAUCAGCAACAAGAAUCAUAAUGUCAGAGUACACAUUACAAUUAUGCAAAAUAAUAAUAAAUAUCUUCAACAAGAAGACCAAAUGAGGAAAUUCCCUGGCAAGUGUAAGAGCUGGGAGUCCACCCUUUCACUGCAGAGGACCCAGCUGCAUAGAACUUCUAUUCAGGGCAUUUUCCAGAUGUCUUCCGUUCUCUUUGACAAGAAGUUCCACAAAGCCUGAUCUUCUCUUGGAAAAAGAAAGGGCAGAGGAGGGCAAAUUGAACCACCCAAGUGCAUUUCAGACCUUUGCACAAAUCUAUAAUGUAAGCUCUGACAGUUGUGUUAUCUUUCUUUUUUGUACAAGUGCCUCACUGAAGCUUUCAGUGUCCAGGCGCCCAUUU